GGGCGAUUGGUGUAGUCUGGAUAUCAUCCCGGCCUUCUAAGCCGGUGACAUGGGUUCGAAUCCUGUAUCGCCCACCA
Molecule: transfer RNA, 77 nt
Filed under: Methanobacteriota archaeon
Lineage: Archaea; Methanobacteriati; Methanobacteriota
Also listed under: 1 other name
Description: Euryarchaeota archaeon tRNA-Arg
Rfam family: tRNA
About the family: Transfer RNA (tRNA) molecules are approximately 80 nucleotides in length.
Source: RNAcentral